UUAUGUAACCACCUCCUUGACUUUUUUUAGCUGCCCUUCUUAUCCGUGGCAGUAAUAUAAAGUUCCUGUUAUCAAGAGGAGGAUUUUGUUCCAUCUGUUCAGCAGCUUGGCUCGCGCUCAUCCAGCCUAACUUUAGACACUUCAGCAGGGGCCUUUCUGAAGGGCUUAAUGGGAUGGUGUGGCUCGGUGUGCUGAGGGCAUGGGGCUGUGCUGGGCUGUGCCUGAGCGAGGGGAGUAAUGUGUACUGCCUGCCUGGAGGCCCUUAAGUGAAAUAAUAAGAAAAAUGACGCAUCAGUUUACACAGCCAGGACUGUUUUCUGGUGUAGAUUGUGCUCCUUUUUUAUUGUGCAGUACUGUCUUUAUUAUCUGAGGCCCCCGAGGACUCUGCAUACAAAACCCUUUAGGAUUUUACUAGAUUUUACAGCUACAUGUCCAUACUGAGUUGGAGGAAUGAGGAUUUGGUUUUGCUGCCUUUCUGCACGCUAAUGAAACAAAGCACUAAUCGUGUGCUCCUGCACUCCAGGUUUUUCUGAGGACACGCGGCUGCAGCCUGCUCACAGCACUGGGGACGCACGCACUGUGCGAGCAAUGCGUGACUGCUGCUAAGGGAGCGUGGGGUAUUUGCUGCCUGGCUGUGUGUAAUGUUGACAGUCGAGGGUUUUCUUGCAGUGCCGUUGGGUCUUGCAGAAGACGAGAUAAACAGAACUGAGCUGACCUAAAGAUUUCACACACGGCAGACUUCUACGAUCAAGCGACUUACAGAAGGACUGCCAGGCCUCACCCUCUACCGCUGCGAGGAGGGAAGGGCAUGGCGCUCCGCUCCCGCCCAAGGAGCGGGGGCGGUGCCCGCGCGUCACACAGCGCUUUCUGAUAGGUCGAUGCGCUGAUUGGCGGCAGAAGCAGCCAGUGAGAGGUGGUGGCUCGUGGCGGAGCGUCGCCUGCGGAGUACUCUGACGGCGCCAUCUUGUUUGCAGGAGGCUACGCGUGCAUUCUAUCAGGACCAGGUGUGUUCAGCAAGCAAAAGUGUUCAAGUAGAAGCUGCACUGCACCUUGUAAACUGCAAAGUGGCUUAUGGCCACUUUGGAACCUCUAGAAUUCAGUAUUCUGUAUACAAGUGAAAAGUCUUCUUGGAUAAUUAAGACUGUCUGAAGUCACUGAGAGUUUCAGUAUGCUGACUUUAAAGGUUCUAAGGAAACUCAGCUCCCUUCUGCACACUGCACUUGAAACUGAAUGCAAGACUCCACUGUUACCCACUGCACUCACUGAUAUCAGCUCCAGAAUUCCUGAGAAUGCCUAGAAAACCUGACCUUCUUCUCCUGACAGCACAUCAAUCAAGGCAGAGGACACUGGAAUGUGUUGCUGACUUUACCAUGCGCCCAGCAUGACAUCUCCAGACUCCAAGACACCCCAGCCUGGACUCCCUCCUAAGUCUACUGCAAGCUGUUGCUUAUCAGCUCGUACAGUAUAUUGAAAGCAGAUGGACAAAGAUAGCUGGCUGAGCAAAUUCUGGUGCUUCAGAAAAACUGCAAGCAGGCUGUUGUCUGGAGGGCAAGCCUGCAAUCUACCUCACAAGUUCUGAAAACAGCCAUACCCAGGGUGCAAUUGUAGAUAUAUUCAGUGCUUUUCAGUGUUCUUUGAAAAUACAGAGCAACUGUGAAACAUUCAUUUUCAGUCUGUGAAUUAGACAGUCGAAGCAAAAUCACCAAAACCUCUCAGAAGUCUGCUUUAAAACAGUAGUAACCAUCUUAUCUUAAAAGAGGUUCAAGUUUCAACGACAUGCAAUAGAUCCGGACGAAGAUAUUUAUUUAUGAGUUUGAUUCUACCUGCCCUUUUUCUCAUCCAUGAGUGGCUGAGGUCUGAGCAUACACAGUUGAAUUACAGAGGGACUUAUAUUGCUACCAGUACCUUUAUCAUUAUAACCUGAAGUUUAAAAAAAACUUCCUGA
Molecule: non-coding RNA, 1945 nt
Organism: Meleagris gallopavo (turkey)
Lineage: Eukaryota; Metazoa; Chordata; Aves; Galliformes; Phasianidae
Source: RefSeq, a predicted model, not a curated record